GCGGCCAAAGAAGGUGAUAGCCCUGUAGUUGGAUGAUGUCGCUCAGCCCUAGAGUAGCGUCGGUGUCGUGAAACCCGGCGUGAACAUGGGGGGUCCACCCUCCAAGGCUAAGUACUACUUGACGACCGAUAGUUAACCAGUAAGGCGACUGAAUGAUGAAAACUACCCCUGCUAGGGGUGUGAAAGAGUAGCUGAAACCAUGUGCUUACACAGCGGUCAGAGCC
RNAcentral lists this ribosomal RNA (224 nucleotides) under Strombidium inclinatum. Its description in RNAcentral is "partial Bacterial large subunit ribosomal RNA". It matches the Rfam family "Bacterial large subunit ribosomal RNA", at positions 351 to 581 of the family's 2925-position model. Lineage: Eukaryota; Ciliophora; Spirotrichea; Strombidiidae. The record is from RNAcentral.